RNAcentral lists this ribosomal RNA (403 nucleotides) under bacterium. RNAcentral's name for it is "partial 16S ribosomal RNA". It matches the Rfam family "Bacterial small subunit ribosomal RNA", at positions 355 to 776 of the family's 1533-position model. RNAcentral also lists the same sequence under 2 other names. The record is from RNAcentral.
UGGGGAAUAUUGCACAAUGGAGGGAACUCUGAUGCAGCGACGCCGCGUGAACGAAGAAGGCUUUCGAGUCGUAAAGUUCUUUUAUAUGGGAAGAUAAUGACGGUACCAUAAGAAAAAGCCCCGGCUAACUACGUGCCAGCAGCCGCGGUAAUACGUAGGGGGCUAGCGUUGUCCGGAAUCACUGGGCGUAAAGGGUUCGCAGGCGGAAAUGCAAGUCAGGAGUAAAAGGCAGUAGCUUAACUACUGUAAGCAUUUGAAACUGCAUAUCUUGAGAAGAGUAGAGGUAAGUGGAAUUUUUAGUGUAGCGGUGAAAUGCGUAGAUAUUAAAAAGAAUACCGGUGGCGAAGGCGACUUACUGGGCUCAUUCUGACGCUGAGGAACGAAAGCGUGGGUAGCAAACAGG